UACGGGGGGGGCAAGCGUUGUUCGGAAUUACUGGGCGUAAAGGGCUCGUAGGCUGCCAACUAAGUCGGACGUGAAAUCCCUCGGCUUAACCGGGGAACUGCGUCCGAUACUGGAUGGCUUGAGUCCGGGAGAGGUGAGUGGAACUGCGAGUGUAGAGGUGAAAUUCGUAGAUAUUCGCAAGAACACCAGUGGCGAAGGCGGCUCACUGGCCCGGUACUGACGCUGAGGUGCGAAAGCGUGGGGAGCAAACAGG
Molecule: ribosomal RNA, 253 nt
Filed under: uncultured bacterium
Lineage: Bacteria
Description: partial 16S ribosomal RNA
Rfam family: Bacterial small subunit ribosomal RNA
Source: RNAcentral